GACGAACGCUGGCGGCGUGCUUAACACAUGCAAGUCGAGCGGAAAGGCCCUUCGGGGUACUCGAGCGGCGAACGGGUGAGUAACACGUGAGUAACCUGCCCCAGACUUUGGGAUAACCCUCGGAAACGGGGGCUAAUACCGGAUACGACACAGCUUCGCAUGGGGUCUGUGUGGAAAGUUUUUCGGUUUGGGAUGGGCUCGCGGCCUAUCAGCUUGUUGGUGGGGUGAUGGCCUACCAAGGCGACGACGGGUAGCCGGCCUGAGAGGGCGACCGGCCACACUGGGACUGAGACACGGCCCAGACUCCUACGGGAGGCAGCAGUGGGGAAUAUUGCACAAUGGGUGGAAGCCUGAUGCAGCGACGCCGCGUGAGGGAUGACGGCCUUCGGGUUGUAAACCUCUUUCAGCAGGGACGAAGCGUAAGUGACGGUACCUGCAGAAGAAGCGCCGGCCAACUACGUG
Molecule: ribosomal RNA, 462 nt
Filed under: uncultured bacterium
Lineage: Bacteria
Description: partial 16S ribosomal RNA
Rfam family: Bacterial small subunit ribosomal RNA
Source: RNAcentral